GGGAAGACAAAAAUUCUUCAAUGUAGACGUCGGUUAUGAGGGGCACCGACGUCUAAGUUCCUGUAUUUUCACCAAAUUUGAUGGUUUUAGACGUCGGCUGUGAGGGGCACCGACGUGAACUACCCUGACAGGAAACCAAAACGUCAAUCUUUUUAGCUUCAUAGACGUCGGAUCCCUUGAAACACAGACGUCUAUAGACGUCGGUUUAGGGAACAACUGACGCCCCAUUUCAUUUUAAAUAGACCGCAGACUCUUC
This 256-nucleotide long non-coding RNA is filed under the name Vigna radiata. Its description in RNAcentral is "long non-coding RNA (VRAD_LNC005659)". Lineage: Eukaryota; Viridiplantae; Streptophyta; Magnoliopsida; Fabales; Fabaceae. The record is from RNAcentral.